AGGGCGCUUUGGCGUUGGCAGCGGUCUAAGUUCCCUGGAACAGGACGUCACAGAGGGUGAGAAUCCCGUAUGUGGUCGCUGGCCUUCGCCGUGUAAAGCCCCUUCGAC
RNAcentral lists this ribosomal RNA (108 nucleotides) under Pyrenochaeta sp. RNAcentral's name for it is "partial large subunit ribosomal RNA". Lineage: Eukaryota; Fungi; Ascomycota; Dothideomycetes; Pleosporales; Cucurbitariaceae. The record is from RNAcentral.